GGACAACCUACCCUGAGGACGGGUAUAAACCCGGGAAACUGGGUAUAAUCCCCGAUAGUCCUCGGCUGCUGGAAUGCACCGAGGACGAAAGCUCCGGCGCCUUAGGAUGGGUCUGCGGCCUAUCAGGUAGUAGUGGGUGUAACGUACCUACUAGCCUACGACGGGUACGGGUUGUGAGAGCAAGAGCCCGGAGAUGGAUUCUGAGACAUGAAUCCAGGCCCUACGGGGUGCAGCAGGCGCGAAAACUUUACAAUGCGGGCAACCGCGAUAAGGGGACCUCGAGUGCUGGGUUACAAACCUGGCUGUUGGGCUGCCUAAAAAGCAUUACAUAGCAAGGGCCGGGCAAGACCGGUGCCAGCCGCCGCGAUAACACCGGCGGCUCGAGUGGUAACCGCUAUUAUUGGGUCUAAAGGGUCUGUAGCCGGCCGGAUAAGUCUCUUGGGAAAUCUGGCAGCUCAACUGUCAGGCUUUCAGGAGAUACUGUCUGGCUCGAGGCCGGGAGAGGUGAGAGGUACUUCAGGGGUAGGGGUGAAAUCUUGUAAUCCUUGAAGGACCACCAGUGGCGAAGGCGUCUCACCAGAACGGACCUGACGGCAAGGGACGAAAGCUAGGGGCACGAACCGGAUUAGAUACCCGGGUAGUCCCAGCUGUAAACGAUGCUCGCUAGGUGUCAGGCAUGGCGCGACCGUGUCUGGUGCCGCAGGGAAGCCGUGAAGCGAGCCACCUGGGAAGUACGGCCGCAAGGCU
Molecule: ribosomal RNA, 747 nt
Filed under: Methanosarcinales archaeon enrichment culture clone AD_Archaea_20
Lineage: Archaea; Methanobacteriati; Methanobacteriota; Methanomicrobia; Methanosarcinales
Description: bacterial SSU rRNA
Rfam family: Archaeal small subunit ribosomal RNA
Source: RNAcentral